Eucalyptus grandis is the source of this 1055-nucleotide long non-coding RNA. RefSeq lists it as uncharacterized. The record is from RefSeq and is a predicted model, not a curated record. Lineage: Eukaryota; Viridiplantae; Streptophyta; Magnoliopsida; Myrtales; Myrtaceae. The transcript has 3 exons.
AACCACAAGGAGGGGGCUGUGAUCGGAUCCCACAGCCGGUAGAGCAAAAGCUUCAGCCUCCGGAAACGUAACCCUCCAAUCCAUUGAGCAGAAGACCCUGUCCAAUUUCUCUUGAAUCCUAUCAGCACCUUCUCUAUUGUUUGACCAGAUUGACUAUAUCAACUAUUGAAGGGUAAUAAGGAGUAUACCUCUUCAACUUCUUGGCUGAUUCAAAGGUAAAUGAUAAGACAUUAGAUUCAUGUUGUGCAAAAUUCAGAGAAUCCACCUUCCAGACUCGCGUCAUAGUUGAAAGAAAAGCCUGGUAAUUGAUAUUUCCUCCCGAGUACAGUUUUCCAAACACCGUUCGCUUGCAUUCAUCUAAAGUUUCCUCUGAAAUGACUCUUUCUCUAGGCGGGGCAUCCACUUCAGUUUUCAGAUUCCCAAGCCUCUUACAUAAUAAAGCUAGUCGACCAUCUCUUUCCCCCGAAUCAUCCAUUUGAAAACCCUUGUCAGCCACGAUUCAGAGAAUGACCAGAAACCCAGAAGACAAAAUCAGACUUUACCCAUCUAUUAUCGCCUUUCAUUACCGAAAUAACACCCCUCAAGACCAUUCAGAGAUAUUUAAAAACAGAGAGAAAUCCUCCCAUUAUUUACUACGGAAAAAAACCCCAAGGGAUUAAAACUUCAGAACCGUCGUGCAAGAAGUGCAAAGAGGGAAGUUGCGGCAUCUUCAGCAAUCCCUAGAACCCAAAGACCAAGACAAGAGGAAAGCGAGCAAAGGAGGAGACGUCGACUCACUUCAUCAGUGUCCAGCGAGGAGAUGUCGAGCGAGCCAUGGAGGAAAGCGAGCCAAGGAGAUGACGAAGACAAUAUUCUCGCAGAAGCCACAUGAUACUAGGUUUUACGUUUUUUUUUUUUUCUGACAGAAUCAGCGAAGAAGGGGUUUAGGGUUUAUGGGCAACUACCAUGAACGGUAGAGAGAGCUCUCAAACGGUGAGCACGGGGUAUAAAAUUUACCAUGGACCAGAUAAUAAAACUGCUUUUUCCACUAGGGUUCUGAAAAAAAAGAGAAAAAA